Molecule: transfer RNA, 73 nt
Filed under: Teladorsagia circumcincta
Lineage: Eukaryota; Metazoa; Nematoda; Chromadorea; Rhabditida; Trichostrongylidae
Also listed under: 1 other name
Rfam family: tRNA
About the family: Transfer RNA (tRNA) molecules are approximately 80 nucleotides in length. Their secondary structure includes four short double-helical elements and three loops (D, anti-codon, and T loops). Further hydrogen bonds mediate the characteristic L-shaped molecular structure. tRNAs have two regions of fundamental functional importance: the anti-codon, which is responsible for specific mRNA codon recognition, and the 3' end, to which the tRNAs corresponding amino acid is attached (by aminoacyl-tRNA synthetases). tRNAs cope with the degeneracy of the genetic code in two manners: having more than one tRNA (with a specific anti-codon) for a particular amino acid; and 'wobble' base-pairing, i.e. permitting non-standard base-pairing at the 3rd anti-codon position.
Source: Rfam by way of RNAcentral
GCCCGCGUGGCCUAAUGGAUAAGGCGUCUGACUUCUAAUCAGAAGAUUGCCGGUUCGAUCCCGGCCGUGGGCU